Molecule: long non-coding RNA, 2804 nt
Organism: Dermacentor silvarum
Lineage: Eukaryota; Metazoa; Arthropoda; Arachnida; Ixodida; Ixodidae
Exons: 6
Source: RefSeq, a predicted model, not a curated record
AGCUGAACCAGCGAUUGACGACUUAAAACGCCGUAUCUACCACUUCACCGACUCCUUGCACCGCUGGGUUUUAAGCUGUGAGGCGUGCUCGAAGCUUUGCGUCGCGGAUACUCCAGUUAUGACCUCAAAUUCUGCAAGCACGGUUACCAGGCUAGCACGACCCAUUGGUGCUCCUGGAAUGCAUUUCCUCCGCCCCGCGGCCAUUUCAUUCCUUCUCACGCAUGAGCUGUCACGCUUGACGCAAACGCUUUCGCUGCUGUGUGAAGUCGCGCCUGCAGUCAAGUUUUGUUUUGUUUGUGUGCGCCUGGAUAAUCAACUGACUGCGCCAAUCAACCGGAGGACAACGAAGCAACGGUCGUCGCCACGUGCCUCCCAGCUAACCUACAAGGUGACUCCCGUGCAACCAAGUGACCGUGGCACUACUCCGAGGGACAACGGAGCAACCGUCGUCGCUACGUUCGAUCUUCGGCAGUUAUAUUCACCAGGUGCGAUUCUAGCUUGCGAGGGUGGCGCGGCUAUUAAAUCAACUAAUUGGCAAUGUUAACUGUUUGACUGAUUGGCAAGAGAAGGCUGCUGCCACAUUGGGUCGUCGUCGUGACGGAAGCGAAGAGGACUGGGUGGGGCGAUUGUAGCUUUAGGCUUAGCUAACACUAGGAAAGGCAGCUCGCACUGCGCAGGCUCCAGCUGGCAGGGGUCCUCUCUCGUUUGCGACACGGACAUCGGCCCAUUCCGAGUGCUAUUGCUUCCCGGUCAUAAUUUCGCGUGUCGGCGCGCGCCAAAUUCGCGUGUCGGCGCGCGCAAAAUGUGAAAGUAAAUUGCACCCGGAAUUAAUUAGUGCCAGGUUUCUUCCAGCGAAACAGAAGAAAAACAGACGUUGCCUACGGUCUGCAGCGCGGCGCGCUGCAGCGAAGACGGUGGUGGGUGGCCAAUUUUCUUUUUUUUUCUUCCGUAUGUUCUCGUCCCUAUUUUUGUGUCACGCCGUGCGAUCGUCGCUCGACAAGCCAACCACCGUUGACUAGUCCCAUCGCCCAAUCCAGCGCGACGACGCUUGUCUUGGUCGGCAACCUGUGCCUUGGCCCCAGGCACCCAGUUCCUGCACCCGACCGUGUCUCGCACAGAUGACGUUUAGCACCUAUCGUCCAGCAGCUGAUCGUGUCUUCACUUCUGUUCCUGCCCCACUGCUAUUGUGUCCUGGUGAAUGAAGCUGCCUGCAAUCCCCGCCCUGCAGAACGUCCACUGCACUGCCAAACGCACUCGACGGAUUUUGCUGCAACCGGCCGUGUCUCGCACAGAUGACGUUCAGCAGCUGAUCGUGUCUUCACUUCUGUUCCUGCCUCACUGCUAUUGUGUCCUGGUGAAUGAAGAUGCCUGCAGAAAGUCCACUGCACGUAAGCCUUGUCUCGUGCAGAUGACGUUCAACACCUGUCUGUCGUCCAGCAGCUGAUCGUGUCUUCACUUCUGUUCCUGCCUCACUGCUUUUGUGUCCUGGUGAGGGAAGAUGCCUGCAAUCCUCGCCCUGCAGAACGUCCACUGCACAUAAUCUGCAACCCUACAUCUGCGGCCCAUCAAGGUUGUCCCACCAGCGUAGUAGGCAAUGACACCAAGUACAGACCGCAGGGAGGCAGGCGUUGCUAUCGCCACUCAUCACAUUGCUGCUCCCGAAGGCGUCGUGCUGCCGGAAACGUUCUUCGCUGCGUCGACGAAGCCAUACAACUAUGAAGUCUCAAGAAACAGCCCGACGUCGCGUGACAUGAAUGAUCAACUAACAUCCCGGUUCGAGUUGUUCGUUCCACCCCAUAGCAGUGCGACGGCCACUCGAUGAAGUCGCACGUUAUUCAAGGGCUGUGACCGUAUGAUGUGGGUGGUGAACAAUCCCAGGUAACAUGCAGUUCUAGCUCAUCGUAGUAGUACAAUGCUCAGACUCUAGCAUUAUGUUGAUCUGGGGUUCUUGCUUCUUACGUUCAUUGACAUUCUGUGCUUUUGUAAUGGUACACUGAUGCUGGUUUGCGUUGCGGAAUUGUGUGUGUGUGUGUGUGUGUGUGUGCGCGCGCGCGUCCGUAUGGGAGUGUGUGUGCGCUCGCGCGUCCGUAUGGAGUGUGAUAGUGUGUUGUGUGCGCAUGCUGCUGCGCGUAUUUCAUCUGGUCGUUAACAUCAUUCUGGCGGGGGUGCGUUUCCUAUUCAACCACGAAUUGUUUGACUGGUUUCUUGCAAUUGGUGACAUCCUUCAGUAAGCUCGUUGAAUGCUCAGUAGUGAUGGUUGCAAAUUGUUUCGGCAACUCUUGCAACGUACAACUGGUCCACUCGCAUAUUUAGUUUUGGCAAUUGUCAAAUUCUUUGGUAUUCCAAGGCAUUUCUGUCGGUAUCUUUUCGUUAUUCUGAUGUUCUUGGUCUUUCAAGUGACUCAUCAUGGACAAUGCAAAACAGCAUCAAUGUACCAUAACAAAAAGCAGGCGUUGGGAAUUAAAGGCAUUAAAUCUUAUUGUCAUUAGCACAUCGUUUGAAAUCUGGUGCUGGCAUGGCACCAAGCUCUUACAUUUUUUACCUGUUUGCUGUCAUUAAUGAUGCUGGUAAUAAAGCAGUGUACCACUCUCAAGGCAUGGCAGGUUCUCGAUCACUCUUCGGACAACACGACCACACAUGCCUGCUGUCUUCAACAGACAGUUUUGCCACAGUUCCGUUUGUCCUACAUGAGUGUUCACUGCCCUGUGUAAAUUUACCUGCCUGUGUUUAUUUAGUGGACAUUUCUAUGACAUGUAUUUGCUGAACGAUAUUCUCUGGAACUGAAUAAAAUCGCGAGGAUAUUU